AAUGAAUAAGAUAUUUUAACCUAUUUCGAUGCCAUCUUGAAUCUAAGACUUCUUCUACCUCAAACUCUUGAUUAUUAUCCACUUCUAUAGGAGGAAGUGACAUUUGUCUUUUUCUCAAGAUAUUCACUAUCUUAUACGGCUUAAAGAGGGGCAUGUGAAAUAGAAGAUGGAUCUUCAUAUACUUCAGUAGAUGUAAUCA
Molecule: long non-coding RNA, 199 nt
Filed under: Physcomitrium patens
Lineage: Eukaryota; Viridiplantae; Streptophyta; Bryopsida; Funariales; Funariaceae
Description: long non-coding RNA (PPAT_LNC010464)
Source: RNAcentral